AUGAAUGCUUGCGGCGUGCCUAAUACAUGCAAGUCGAGCGAACGGACGAGAAGCUUUCUUCUCUGAUGUUAGCGGCGGACGGGGUAUUAACACGUGUAUAACCUACCUAUAAGACUGGGAUAACUUCGGGAAACCGGAGCUAAUACCGGAUAAUAUUUUGAAUCGCAUGUUUCAAAAGUGAAAGACGGUCUUGCUGUCACUUAUAUAUGGAUCCGCGCUGCAUUAGCUAUUUGGUAAGGUAACGGCUUACCAAGGCAACGAUGCAUAGCCGACCUGAGAGGGGGAUCGGCCACACUGGAACUGAGACACGGUCACGACUCCUACGGGAGGCAGCAGUAGGGAAUCUUCCGCAAUGGGCGAAAGCCUGACGGAGCAACGCCGCGUGAGUGAUGAAGGUCUUCGGAUCGUAAAACUCUGUUAUUAGGGAAGAACAUAUGUGUAAGUAACUGUGCACAUCUUGACGGUACCUAAUCAGAAAGCCACGGCUAACUACGUG
Molecule: ribosomal RNA, 496 nt
Filed under: uncultured bacterium
Lineage: Bacteria
Description: partial 16S ribosomal RNA
Rfam family: Bacterial small subunit ribosomal RNA
Source: RNAcentral